Molecule: transfer RNA, 72 nt
Filed under: Ictidomys tridecemlineatus (thirteen-lined ground squirrel)
Lineage: Eukaryota; Metazoa; Chordata; Mammalia; Rodentia; Sciuridae
Description: Spermophilus tridecemlineatus (thirteen-lined ground squirrel) tRNA
Rfam family: tRNA
About the family: Transfer RNA (tRNA) molecules are approximately 80 nucleotides in length.
Source: Rfam by way of RNAcentral
GGGGUUGUGGCUCAGUAGUAGAGUGCUUGCCUAGUAAGUGCAAGGCCCUGAGUUCGAUCCUCAGCACCCACA